This 327-nucleotide small nuclear RNA is filed under the name Chinchilla lanigera (long-tailed chinchilla). RNAcentral's name for it is "7SK RNA (ENSCLAG00000021960.1)". It matches the Rfam family "7SK RNA". Rfam says of the family: 7SK was discovered as an abundant small nuclear RNA in the mid-70s but a possible function has only recently been suggested. Two independent studies have found that 7SK RNA binds the CDK9/cyclin T complex (known as elongation factor P-TEFb). Lineage: Eukaryota; Metazoa; Chordata; Mammalia; Rodentia; Chinchillidae. The record is from RNAcentral.
GGGUGUGAGGGCGAUCUGGCUGCUACAUCUGUCACCCCAUUGAUCGCCAGGGUUGAUGCGGCUGGUCUGGCUGGUGAGGCACGUGUCCCCUUCCUUCCUCAGCGCUCCAUGCGCGUCCCUCCCGAAGCUGUGCGCUCGGUGGAAGAGGACGACCACCCCGGACAGAGGAGGACUGUUCCUCAGUCAAGGGUGUAUGAGGAGCUGCGCUCCCCUGCUAGAACCUCCACACGAGCUCUCAGAAACUGAAAUCAGAUUGCCUCAUAGGGUAUAUUUCUGUGCUGUGCUACAUGAUCCUGCCUUUAAAAAUUGAAUUCAUUUUCUCCUUUU